UUAGGUCAAGCUACAAAGGGCGCAGGGUGAAUGCCUUGGCACUAGGAGCCGAAGAAGGACGCGAUAAGCUGCGAUAAGCUUUGGGUAGGCGCAAAUAGCCUGUGAUCCAGAGAUUUCCGAAUGGGGAAACCUACUUAAUUAUAUUAAGUACCAUAUGCUGAAUACAUAGGUAUAUGGGGGUAAACCCGGGGAACUGAAACAUCUAAGUACCCGGAGGAAGAGAAAGAAACAUCGAUUUCCUAAGUAGCGGCGAGCGAAAGGGAAAGAGCCCAAACCAAAGCCUUUGGCUUUGGGGU
RNAcentral lists this ribosomal RNA (296 nucleotides) under Clostridium senegalense. RNAcentral's name for it is "partial 23S ribosomal RNA". It matches the Rfam family "Bacterial large subunit ribosomal RNA", at positions 1 to 298 of the family's 2925-position model. Lineage: Bacteria; Bacillati; Bacillota; Clostridia; Eubacteriales; Clostridiaceae. The record is from RNAcentral.